This 468-nucleotide ribosomal RNA is filed under the name uncultured bacterium. Its description in RNAcentral is "partial 16S ribosomal RNA". It matches the Rfam family "Bacterial small subunit ribosomal RNA", at positions 36 to 507 of the family's 1533-position model. The record is from RNAcentral.
GCUUCCCUCUUUCUUCGUGCUUAACACAUGCAAGUCGAACGGAAAGGCCCAAGCUUGCUUGGGUACUCGAGUGGCGAACGGGUGAGUAACACGUGGGUGAUCUGCCCUGCACUUCGGGAUAAGCCUGGGAAACUGGGUCUAAUACCGGAUAGGACCACGUCUUGGAUGUUGUGGUGGAAAGUUUUUUCGGUGUGGGAUGAGCUCGCGGCCUAUCAGCUUGUUGGUGGGGUAAUGGCCUACCAAGGCGUCGACGGGUAGCCGGCCUGAGAGGGUGUACGGCCACAUUGGGACUGAGAUACGGCCCAGACUCCUACGGGAGGCAGCAGUGGGGAAUAUUGCACAAUGGGCGCAAGCCUGAUGCAGCGACGCCGCGUGGGGGAUGACUGCCUUCGGGUUGUAAACUCCUUUCGCUAGGGACGAAGCGUUUUUGUGACGGUACCUGGAGAAGAAGCACCGGCUAACUACGUG